This is a long non-coding RNA of Tarenaya hassleriana, 807 nucleotides long. RefSeq lists it as uncharacterized. NCBI's taxonomy places the organism in Eukaryota, Viridiplantae, Streptophyta, Magnoliopsida, Brassicales, Cleomaceae. The record is from RefSeq and is a predicted model, not a curated record. The transcript is spliced from 2 exons.
UUUGGAUUCGUUGCUCUUUUCUGUUUCUGCGUUCUCUUGUUCUUCCUGGAUUCGAUUCGUCGUAUUGUGUUUCAGAGAUCUGCAAUCGUUGAAGAAUCGAUUUUCUUUUCUGUUUUGGUUGGGUUCUCUUGUUUUCCCAGGUCUUGAUUCUUCGAUUUGGGUUCUUCCGCAAUCGUUGAAAGAUUCUUCGAUGGAGUUUGCAGAUUCACUUAAACCCAUUUAACUCCUGCGAUCUCUCUGGUUGCUAUUCGAAGAUCGGCACUUCGUCGAGGAUUCCUUGUCGGGUUUUUUUUUUCCAACCUCUGGGUUUCGGAUAUCGCAGCUUUCCGUGAUUUCUUCUCUUCGGAACUAUCACACUCCUCUUCAUGUACUAUUUAGAGCUGAAUCCAUGAAGAGGAGGAUACAUAAGAAUCUGCAGAAAGACAAGGAAAGAGAAGAACUUGCUCACUGGGUUAUGUUGUGUUGCUGUUCAUGGUCUUGUCCAAUAUGGGGAAGGUAUUUGGGCAAGAGCUAUUUUGUGGAUAUUUUUAGGGUUUCGAUCUCGGGUUCGGUUCGGUUAUAUUCAUAUUCAUAUAUUCGGGUUCGGUUUGUUGCAGGGAGAAUGAUUUGGAAUAAGAACGCUGCACUCAUUUUUGCAUUCGCCGUUCAUGUGUGGUUUUGAAUUGCGUUAUGUCGUUUGAAAUUGAAUCUGAGAGUGUGUUUCAGUAGGGCUUGACCAAAAAAAAAAAAAUAUGGUUUUGAUCCAAAUAAUCUAAAUAUUUGAGAUGCCCGAUCCAAGUAACCCUAUAUGAUACAUAUUUUGAAGAA